CCCUUGGUGGCUCAGAUGGUCAGAGCGUCUGCCAUGUAAGCAGGAGAUCCUGGGUUCGAGUCCCGGUUGGGGGA
Molecule: transfer RNA, 74 nt
Filed under: Schistocerca americana (American grasshopper)
Lineage: Eukaryota; Metazoa; Arthropoda; Insecta; Orthoptera; Acrididae
Also listed under: 1 other name
Description: tRNA-Thr
Rfam family: tRNA
About the family: Transfer RNA (tRNA) molecules are approximately 80 nucleotides in length. Their secondary structure includes four short double-helical elements and three loops (D, anti-codon, and T loops).
Source: RNAcentral